GACGAACGCUGGCGGCGUGCUUAACACAUGCAAGUCGAACGGUGAUGCUCCAGCUUGCUGGAGUGGAUCAGUGGCGAACGGGUGAGUAACACGUGAGCAACCUGCCCCAGACUCUGGAAUAAGCGCUGGAAACGGCGUCUAAUACUGGAUACGAAACUGGCCCGCAUGGGCAUGGUUUGGACAGUUGUUCGGUUUGGGAUGGGCUCGCGGCCUAUCAGCUUGUUGGUGAGGUAAUGGCUCACCAAGGCGACGACGGGUAGCCGGCCUGAGAGGGCGACCGGCCACACUGGGACUGAGACACGGACCAGACUCCUACGGGAGGCAGCAGUGGGGAAUAUUGCACAAUGGGCGAAAGCCUGAUGCAGCGACGCCGCGUGAGGGAUGACGGCCUUCGGGUUGUAAACCUCUUUCAGCAGGGAAGAAGCGAAAGUGACGGUACCUGCAGAAGAAGCACCGGCUAACUACGUG
RNAcentral lists this ribosomal RNA (468 nucleotides) under uncultured bacterium. Its description in RNAcentral is "partial 16S ribosomal RNA". It matches the Rfam family "Bacterial small subunit ribosomal RNA", at positions 28 to 507 of the family's 1533-position model. The record is from RNAcentral.